GAAAUUUGAGGCAGGAUGUCUGGAGUAGAGAAUUCAACCACAAAGUGAAUUGAGACUCCCAUUUGUUGGCGAAUGUUCAACAAAUAUUUAUUCAGCCAAUUAUGGGCGGUGCACUGUGUGCCCAAGACGGUUAAUAUUCCGUGACUCUCUUAAUCUAUCUCACAAAUUAUUUUCAAGGUAUAAUUUAUAUCUUUAAACAAUAGACAAUUACAUAUUAAAGUAAAUUAUAGUUGUUGUUAUUGUUCAAUGUUCAAUUGUGUUUGACCCUUCCUAACCCCCAGGUUUUCUUGGCAGAGAUACUAGAGUGGUUUGCCAUUUCCACCUGCAGCUCAUUUUACAGCCAUAAUUCCAGAGAACCAGUAAUGAAGGACGCUACUCACCACCUAACAGAGAAGAUGCUGGACUCAAGAUGAAGAAGGAAACAUAUUAUUUGCAGACAUGGACAGCAUAGAAAUGUGUUUUGCCUGAAUGCAUAUUCAUCAUAAGGAUUUUAUUUUUGUUUUUAAUUUUCAAUUGGAUGGGGGAAGGAAGAGAAAAUAAAAUUUUAUUAUUUAAAAAAUUAAGUUAAAUU
Molecule: long non-coding RNA, 571 nt
Filed under: Monodelphis domestica (gray short-tailed opossum)
Lineage: Eukaryota; Metazoa; Chordata; Mammalia; Didelphimorphia; Didelphidae
Description: lncRNA (ENSMODG00000039043.1)
Source: RNAcentral